GUAGUCAAUAAAAAACCUGAACAUUGGUCAAAUUCUUUAACUUUGGUAUGAAUAUCAAAUAAAGAAGAUUGGUUGCCAUGGGAACAUGCAGAAUAACUUUCUCACAAAGGUUUUUGUUGCUUCAUAGUAUUGUAUUCUUGAUCUGAACACUAAAGCUAGAAAAAACAAAUGAAUGACCAUUGACAUAUUUGCUUGUUUCUCUCCAAUAAACAGCUGUUUUUCAAUUAUAUUGUAGCACACGCCAUAUAACAAAUGUUGUCCAAAAUAAACAAUAACAUAAGUUUUCAUUUAAUUGCGUUCAAUAUCAAUGUGAAUCUUCAUUUUACCCAAAAAUUCUUCAAUUGAUGGAUUUUAUUGAUGAACACAAAUGUGUUUUUAUGAAAAACAAUAGCAUAUAUGCAAAAUAAAAGUAUAAUUUUUAGACAAGAAAUUGUCUCCAUGGUUACCGUGGAAUCAAUUUCAAUUACUGAUAGCUUAAUUAAAACUUUAACAUUUCAAUAUCACUGCCUGAAAGUUUGAAUGUUGUAGAACAAGUAUUAUUUAAAUUGUAUUCUUUUAAAGUCAAUGGGUGAUAUAUUUAACAUUCACUCAAAACAACUCAGCAGUGAGCACUGAACUACACUUACAACAUUGCAGCAUGGUAAGGGUUAAAAGAGAAUGUUGAUGAGCCUGAUCCGUCGAUUCAAAUACCAUAACACAGCCAACCCAAAAAAAACAACAGCAAACAAGUGAGCAAGCUGACAAAGCUGCAACUUCAGGGAGCAAUUAUAAGGGUCAUCAAGAUGGAGCCAGGAUUCAUGAUGCUCAUAUUAGAGGUGCUGGACCAGAGUCUGAGGAAGGGAGUAGAACUCCAAGCUGGUUUGAGUGUGCUUCAACUGCCGGGACAUUUCAAUGCAGAGUUAAAAAGUUUGUUGUUGCCGGGAGGCCAGUCUUUCUCAAACUGCUGACUCUGACCUCCUUGUUUUGAAUGAAGAAGUUCUAACCCUUGCCCAUUUGAUGAGGCAGGAUUUCUUGUGUUCAUUGAUGAGGAGGACCAGGUGCAACCCAACUAGGCGACUUAUAUUGUGUUCUGACACAGAGUUAUUUUUGGGCUGGUGACAAGAGGGCUAUUCCCUUAUGUUGUGUGGAGAGUCCAGGAAACCUUCCCGAUUCCCUAAGAACAAUACACUGGCCUUGUGCAAAGGAGGGUUCAGUAGAUGAACACAAUUUUUGCAGACGGAUUGUAUCUGUUCUCUUGAUUUUCUUAAAUAUUAAAAUAUGAUAUAAACAAUAUCAGGUCAUUUUUGUAUACUUUUGUGAAUGACUUGUUAUUUUAUAAAUACUGAUUUGUACUGUCUUUGGUUGCUAAACUGUCAUUAAGUAAUUAUCUCGUUUCAAUUUGAAAGCCAGAAAACCUGCAUGUUAUGUAUACUCAUGUUAUUGUUUAUAUUUAUGCCCCCUCCGAGGAAGAGGGGUAUAUUGCAUUGCACAUGUUGGUCGGACGAUUCGCAGCUUUGUUGGUAGACCAAAGCUUGUCUAAGUGAUAACUCAACAACUGAAGGACAGAUGGUUAUCAAACUUGACAUGAAUGUAGGGCCUGACCAGUAGAUAACCCUAUUGAUUUAAGGGGUCAUCAGGUCCAAGUUCAAGAUCACAGUGACCUUUAAUGGUAUAAAGUUGUUAAAGCUUGUCCGAGAAAUAACUAAAAAAUACCUGAACGUACGGUAUGGUUAUCAAAUUUGACAUGGAGGCUGGGCCUGAUUAGUAGAUGACCCCUAUUGAUUUUAGGAGUCAUUGGGCCAAUGGUAACAGUCACAGUGACCUUUAAGUUGAAAAGGUUAACAAAGAUUCUCUGAGUGAUAUCACAACAAUGUCUGGCCCUAUGAUCAUCAAACUUGACAUUGAGGCUGGGUAUGACCAUAACUGAUUUAAGGAGUCAUUGGCCCUAAGUGACGAAAGUGCGUUAAGAAUGAACGAGUGAUAAAUCAACAAUGCCUGCA
Long non-coding RNA from Mya arenaria, 1979 nucleotides. RefSeq lists it as uncharacterized. Lineage: Eukaryota; Metazoa; Mollusca; Bivalvia; Myida; Myidae. The record is from RefSeq and is a predicted model, not a curated record. The transcript has 3 exons.